UACGGGAGGCAGCAGUGGGGAAUAUUGCACAAUGGGCGCAAGCCUGAUGCAGCCAUGCCGCGUGUAUGAAGAAGGCCUUCGGGUUGUAAAGUACUUUCAGCGGGGAGGAAGGCGAUGCGGUUAAUAACCGCGUCGAUUGACGUUACCCGCAGAAGAAGCACCGGCUAACUCCGUGCCAGCAGCCGCGGUAAUACGGAGGGUGCAAGCGUUAAUCGGAAUUACUAGGCGUAAAGCGCACGCAGGCGGUCUGUUAAGUCAGAUGUGAAAUCCCCGGGCUUAACCUGGGAACUGCAUUUGAAACUGGCAGGCUUGAGUCUUGUAGAGGGGGUAGAAUUCCGAGGUGUAGCGGUGAAAUGCGUAGAGAUCUGGAGGAAUACCGGUGGCGAAGGCGGCCCCUGGGACAAAGACUGACGCUCAGGUGCGAAAGCGUGGGGAGCGAAACAGGAUUAGGAUACC
Molecule: ribosomal RNA, 456 nt
Filed under: uncultured bacterium
Lineage: Bacteria
Description: bacterial SSU rRNA
Rfam family: Bacterial small subunit ribosomal RNA
Source: RNAcentral